This 793-nucleotide ribosomal RNA is filed under the name uncultured bacterium. RNAcentral describes it as "bacterial SSU rRNA". It matches the Rfam family "Bacterial small subunit ribosomal RNA", at positions 8 to 796 of the family's 1533-position model. The record is from RNAcentral.
AGAGUUUGAUCAUGGCUCAGAAUCAACGCUGGCGGCGUGCCUAACACAUGCAAGUCGAACGAGAAAGUCCCGCAAGGGAUGAGUAAAGUGGCGCACGGGUGAGUAACACGUAGCUAACCUGCCCUCGAGUGGGGGAUAACCUGGGGAAACUCGGGCUAAUACCGCAUAACGUCCUGGUUGCGCGAGCAGCCGGGAUCAAAGGCCCGCAAGGGUUGCUUGAGGAGGGGGCUGCGGCCGAUUAGCUAGUUGGUGAGGUAACGGCCCACCAAGGCUAUGAUCGGUAGCCGGCCUGAGAGGGCGCACGGCCACACUGGCACUGAAACACGGGCCAGACUCCUACGGGAGGCAGCAGUGGGGAAUUUUGCACAAUGCCCGAAAGGGUGAUGCAGCAACGCCGCGUGAGGGAUGAAGGCCUUCGGGUCGUAAACCUCUUUCGAUCGGGAAAAACGGGCUGGUGAAGAGCCAGUUCUGAUGGUACCGGAUGAAGAAGCCCCGGCUAACUACGUGCCAGCAGCCGCGGUAAUACGUAGGGGGCGAGCGUUGUUCGGAAUUACUGGGCGUAAAGGGCGUGUAGGCGGUGCGGUAAGUCGGGCGUGAAAUCCCCGGGCUUAACCCGGGGCGGUCGUUCGAACUGCCGUGCUAGAGUGCAGGAGAGGGAAGUGGAAUUCCCGGUGUAGCGGUGAAAUGCGUAGAUAUCGGGAGGAACCCUGCGGCGAAGGCGGCUUCCUGGACUGCAACUGCGCUGAGGCGCGAAAGCUAGGGGAGCAAACAGGAUUAGAUACCCUAGUAGUCC